CCAGCCAUAGCUCAGUUGGCAGAGCGAAGGUUUGUAAUGGAUACCGGAUUGAAUCCACCUUAGGUCCCGUGUUCGAAUCACGGUGGCUGGA
RNAcentral lists this transfer RNA (91 nucleotides) under Malassezia cuniculi. Its description in RNAcentral is "tRNA-Tyr". It matches the Rfam family "tRNA". Rfam says of the family: Transfer RNA (tRNA) molecules are approximately 80 nucleotides in length. Their secondary structure includes four short double-helical elements and three loops (D, anti-codon, and T loops). The record is from RNAcentral. Lineage: Eukaryota; Fungi; Basidiomycota; Malasseziomycetes; Malasseziales; Malasseziaceae.